CACUAUAGGUUGGUAUGUACCCAAUUGUGACUAAACCAAAAGAAACAAAUCUGGAAACUGAAGUAUCAAUACGUGAAAAGCGUUCUUUUGGUAUUGGGAGUGCCAGUUGUCUUUGUUUCAUGAACUACUUCUCCGUAAUAGCAUGCAGCCAUCUUCAAGAGGUAAAACAGCAUCCCCAGGAUAAACAGGUGAGGAAUCACAGAGCAAUUUAAAAA
This 215-nucleotide long non-coding RNA is filed under the name Homo sapiens (human). RNAcentral describes it as "non-protein coding LINC02109:45". The record is from RNAcentral. Lineage: Eukaryota; Metazoa; Chordata; Mammalia; Primates; Hominidae.